AUCCAACUGACAAAUCCCAAACAGGACGAAAUGUGCAUAUUGGAU
This 45-nucleotide non-coding RNA is filed under the name Trichobilharzia regenti. The record is from RNAcentral. Lineage: Eukaryota; Metazoa; Platyhelminthes; Trematoda; Strigeidida; Schistosomatidae.